This is an RNA transcript of Camellia sinensis, 1984 nucleotides long. It is a transcript of the gene named protein arginine N-methyltransferase 2-like, with no coding region annotated. The record is from RefSeq and is a predicted model, not a curated record. Lineage: Eukaryota; Viridiplantae; Streptophyta; Magnoliopsida; Ericales; Theaceae.
UUCGCACCUGUCUCGCACUUUUACCCUCUCUGUGUAUACACCACAACCACCCAACCUCUGUCUCAGCCAACCUUACCACCGCAAAUCAAUAAACCUCACGGCAAAUAAACCUCACGGCAAUCAAACCUCACGACCGCGCAUCCUCAGCACUGUCGGUCCUCGUACGCCGCAAAUUAGCACCGCCACCGCCACUAACAGGCUGAAAAUGAUGUUGUAGGCCAGGAACUUCAGAGGCAACUGGAAGCUGCAGAGAAGGAAUUGAAGCAAGUCCAUGACUUGUUCGGCCAAGCAGCAGAUAACUGCUUGAACUUGAAGAAACCAUAUUGAAUACAAUGAUAGUCCUCAUCAAUUGGCGUUUCUAUCCGUGAGUUCAUUGGUAGACAUCAACUCUGGCGAUUCUUUGACACUUAUGGGCAGUGUUAUGAAGAUAUGAGAGAGUUCCACCAACAUCUUCCUUCAUUGUUGAAACCUGGUGGGAUCUACUCAUUUUUUAAUGGCCUUUGUGGAGGUAAUGCCUUUUUUCAUGUUGUUUACUGUCGGUUGGUUUCUCUAGAACUUGAGAGUUUGGGUUAUUCCACACAGUUAAUACCCUUGCCUAUAAAGGAUUGUUUGGGAGAAGAAGUUUGGAAGGGUGUGAAACACAAAUAUUGGCAAUUGGACACAUAUUACCUCCCUGUUUGUCAGUCUAUACAGGAUUCUGAAUGAUGCUUGGGUCCAUACUAGUUUUUCUUGAUCUUCAACAUGUUUAAUCAGUGGACAAGCCAGUACGUUUUACUGAUCAUAUUUGAAGUUUAGAUGGUUAGGAAAGUUAUGGGAAAUUAUCCUUGAGAGAUCUUGUGCUCUCUUACGUCUGUUUUGUAGUGUGUGACCUUGUGAGUGUAUGCUCUAGAGGUAACUAAAACUUGGUUUUAUUAUAUUCACUUUAUUAGAUCAAGACCCAAGAAUGAGUUUAGCAUUUACUAUUUGUUUGUGUAUCAAUUCUUGCGCAUUCUAUAUUUAUGCUCUGAAGUUUUCUAGCUUCUGAGUAGUGGAAUAAGAUUUAACAAAGUGUGUGCUUUGGUUUAUUUGGAUGCAAUUCCAUGGAAGAAUAAUGAGUUAUAAACUUGACGUAUUUGGUUUAUUCAUUUAUUCUUAAACGGUGGAUUUAUUACAACUUGACAUACUUUACCACUCAUGAUUCUGACCUAUACCACUUAAAUGUUAUCCAUUGUUUUUACACAAGCUAAUGGUGCAUGUUUUGGUAAAUUUGUCUGAUAGAUGCUAGAUCGUUCACAUAAGCUUCUGCAUCUCAUUGUAGGCUAUAUAAUAUAUGAUGGUUUGAUCUUGCAAUAUUAAAUUUUUGUGGAUUGUUUGUUGAGGCUAAUUUUGUUUCUUGAGAAUGGAAGGGAUGAAAUUCUGAUUAAAUGACAAUAGAAUGGGAAUUUGGGAAAUUGCUUCAUGCCAUAUAACUUGCGCUGACAUAAAGAAAUGAUGAUAUAAAGAAAUUGGCAUGGCUGAAUACGUCCUAAACUUAGUCGAAAAAGGGCGUUUCGAGGGCGAAAAUUCAAAGCAACCCUCGAUCCACGGUGUGACUCUCAUGGAUAGCUUUUCCAUGACAAAUAAGACUUAUAACAACUAACGGAACGUAAUUUGGACAUGUAGGUAGAGAGUUAGAGCUAAAUACGCCUUAAACUUACUCGAAAAAGAACUUUUCGGGGACGAAAAUUCAAAAUAGCCUCCAAAUGACCGUGUGACUCUCAUGGAUAGCUUCCCCAUGACAAAUAGGAUUUGUGAGAACUGACGGAACGUAAUUCCGAUCUGUAGGUUGGGAGUUAGAGCCAAAUACGUCCUAAACUUAGUAGAAAAAUGGCGUUUUGGGGUUGAAAAUUCAAAACAGCCCCCGAACCACCAUGUGGCUCACACGGAUAGUUCCCCCAUGACAAAUAGGACUUGUGACAACUGACGGAAUGUAAUCUGGACCCGUAAGUUGGGAGUUAGAGCCGAA